AUUUUGGCAUAGCGCCCAAAAUCUCCUCCUCUUCAUUUCUCUAUCGCAGCUUCUCUGCCUUUCCUCUUCAGAAAUUUCCAAGCGUCUCCACCCCUGCAUACCCGAGCCAAUUCCACCGUUUUUUUUUGGUUUCUACUACUAACCCUAGGUGUUUCUUCACUUCUUUUUCUCUGCCUGUGUUCCUCCCCGCGCCUUCCUCUCCCUCACUCUCAGUUAGUCAUCAUCAUUCACACCACUUACUCUUGCAGCCUUGCAAACCCUCACAGGUUGCAGCCUUGCAACCUCGCGUCAAGCACUUGCCGGCCUCGCCGUCUCGACAGCCAUCACAGAGGUUUCCUAUAAGAGGCUGAGUUGAAAUUACUUGGUGUCUAUGAAUGCUGCAAAGAGGUUACUCCAGGAGUUUGUUGAAAAGCAUGAAAAUGGGUUCAAAGUGGUGUAUGUUUUGGCUGGCUGGUUGAAGAGCGAUCCUUCAAGCUACCAUCUAAGGCUUGUUUCUGGGCCUAAAUUUACAGGACAAUGUUGCACUUAUUGUUAGAUUAGAAAUGGUACAGUGUUUAUUUCAAAUUCUACAGCCUUAUAUCCUAAAUUCUUGAGUGCUGACUGCUGACACAGUUGUCUCUUUCGGCCACAGUCAAAUACCCAUUUACAUGCAAAUAUAAAAAAUCCAGACAUAAAAUUGUUGCAGGUGCUGUGUGUAAAAUGCAACUCUUCCUUCUGUUAGUUUUGUGUUUAAGGAGCAAAAUUGACUUAAUUUGCUUCUUUGUUGAUACAAGGUUGUAACCCUCAUCCAUGCACUUGAGAAAAUUUCCAAGUUGAAGAUUCCCUUGCUGAUUUGAACUCUGUGCCUCAGAGUGAUCCUUAUACGUUCAAAAGCAAGGGCAGAGUUGAGAUUUUUCCCAACAAGGAAGCUGAUAAAUCGGGCAUAUUGCAGACAAUCAAGCUUUCUCAUUCAUUGAAUCUGGUAAGUGCAUAUGCAACUUUUUUUCAGUCCUAUGGCGUCGAGGAUCACCAACAUGAGAAGAAGAAUCCUGAAACCAAGGAGCCUUUGUUCUCCAACUUUACACCAUUCUUCUUUGGAAACUAUUUGUUGUGGUUUUUUCUUUUUUGUUCGGAUAUCUUGUAUGUACAUUUUCAUAUAUUUUAUAAUUAAAUACUUUUUCUUGGUUUA
Pyrus x bretschneideri (Chinese white pear) is the source of this 1168-nucleotide long non-coding RNA. RefSeq lists it as uncharacterized. The transcript has 6 exons. The record is from RefSeq and is a predicted model, not a curated record. Lineage: Eukaryota; Viridiplantae; Streptophyta; Magnoliopsida; Rosales; Rosaceae.